UACAGAGGGGGCAAGCGUUGUUCGGAAUUACUGGGCGUAAAGGGCGCGUAGGCGGCCUGUUAAGUCGAACGUGAAAUCCCCGGGCUCAACCCGGGAGCUGCGUCCGAUACUGGCAGGCUUGAAUCCGGGAGAGGGAUGCGGAAUUCCAGGUGUAGCGGUGAGAUGCGUAGAUAUCUGGAGGAAUACCGGUGGCGAAGGCGGCAUCCUGGACCGAGAUUGACGCUGAUGAGCGAAAGCUAGGGGAGCAAACGGG
This 253-nucleotide ribosomal RNA is filed under the name uncultured bacterium. RNAcentral describes it as "partial 16S ribosomal RNA". It matches the Rfam family "Bacterial small subunit ribosomal RNA", at positions 524 to 776 of the family's 1533-position model. The record is from RNAcentral.